This 735-nucleotide ribosomal RNA is filed under the name uncultured bacterium. RNAcentral describes it as "bacterial SSU rRNA". It matches the Rfam family "Bacterial small subunit ribosomal RNA", at positions 141 to 851 of the family's 1533-position model. The record is from RNAcentral.
GGACAACAGACGGAAACGACUGCUAAUACCGAAUAAGUUCCAAGAGCCGCAUGGCCCAUGGAAGAAAAGGUGGCCUCUACCUGUAAGCUAUCGCCUGAAGAGGGGUUUGCGUCUGAUUAGCUGGUUGGAGGGGUAACGGCCCACCAAGGCGACGAUCAGUAGCCGGUCUGAGAGGAUGAACGGCCACACUGGAACUGAGACACGGUCCAGACUCCUACGGGAGGCAGCAGUGGGGAAUCUUCCGCAAUGGGCGAAAGCCUGACGGAGCAACGCCGCGUGAGUGAUGACGGCCUUCGGGUUGUAAAACUCUGUGAUCCGGGACGAAAAGGCAGAGUGCGAAGAACAAACUGCAUUGACGGUACCGGAAAAGCAAGCCACGGCUAACUACGUGCCAGCAGCCGCGGUAAUACGUAGGUGGCAAGCGUUGUCCGGAAUUAUUGGGCGUAAAGCGCGCGCAGGCGGCUUCCCAAGUCCCUCUUAAAAGUGCGGGGCUUAACCCCGUGAUGGGAAGGAAACUGGGAAGCUGGAGUAUCGGAGAGGAAAGUGGAAUUCCUAGUGUAGCGGUGAAAUGCGUAGAGAUUAGGAAGAACACCGGUGGCGAAGGCGACUUUCUGGACGAAAACUGACGCUGAGGCGCGAAAGCGUGGGGAGCAAACAGGAUUAGAUACCCUGGUAGUCCACGCCGUAAACGAUGGAUACUAGGUGUAGGAGGUAUCGACCCCUCCUGUGCCGGAG